UCAGGAUGAACGCUAGCGGCAGGCUUAACACAUGCAAGUCGAGGGGUAUAGUUCUUCGGAAUUAGAGACCGGCGCACGGGUGCGUAACGCGUAUGCAAUCUACCUUCACAGAGGGAUAGCCCAAGAGAAAUUUGGAUUAAUACCUCAUAGUAUAGCAGUUUCGCAUGAAACCACUAUUAAAGUCACAACGGUGAAAGAUGAGCAUGCGUCCCAUUAGCUAGUUGGUGGGUAAAGGCCUACCAAGGCGACGAUCCAUAGCUGGUCUGAGAGGAUGAUCAGCCACACUGGGACUGAGACACGGCCCAGACUCCUACGGGAGGCAGCAGUGGGGAAUAUUGGACAAUGGGCGAAAGCCUGAUCCAGCAAUGCCGCGUGAGUGAUGAAGGCCUUAGGGUUGUAAAGCUCUUUUACCCGAGAUGAUAAUGACAGUAUCGGGAGAAUAAGCUCCGGCUAACUCCGUG
RNAcentral lists this ribosomal RNA (461 nucleotides) under uncultured bacterium. Its description in RNAcentral is "bacterial SSU rRNA". It matches the Rfam family "Bacterial small subunit ribosomal RNA", at positions 24 to 507 of the family's 1533-position model. The record is from RNAcentral.